GUGUAAUGCUUCUAGGUCAUGUUGAUUCUACAAUCAAAGAACAUUUUAACUAAAACGUUAUUGCUACCACAUAAGAGACGGGAUUAGAAUUGUAACCCCUCGGAGCUAAGUCCUAAACACAUAGCUAUAUCUCUUGCAAGAUUAAUUAAUUAGGUUGAAUUGCCCAUAUAUUAGUCCAAGAAUCUUGGUACUCUCAGGAGGUUUACCCUGAUAAUUUUCCCAAAUGAACCUUCUAAAAGAAGUUUAACUUCCUCCAAUCUUUAGCAACACACUCAAACAAUAUGAGAUAUGUUUAACUCCAAUUCUUUCUGUUUUAGCUAAUCUUUCCCCCUCCUUUUCCUUUGCCUUGAAUCCUUGGUGCCCCAAGAAAGUGUAAAUGGUUGGCAUGGUAAACACCCAGAAUUUUAGGGUACAACACUGAUACUAAUGAGCAAUGAUGGUAAAAGUCUGACUUUACAACACAAAACGGACAUGCAUAAACUAGCAUAUUGUAACAAAAAUAUCAUGCUAUUCUUGUGGAUAUAGCAAUGUCAAGAACAGAGCAUAAAUAGUAUGAAUAUUCUAUAGAACAAGGAACAGAAGCUUAAACCGUUGAACAUUAAUCAUCAAAUUUCACAAGCUAAAAUGAAGGAAUUAGACAUAGAUGAAGUGGUAAGAUCAAGAAAAGAGAAAGGGAGGGGAGGGGGCCAAGAAAAAGCAAAACAAACAGAUGUAAUUCCAAUUGGGCACAUACAUUCAUUCAGGAUUUUCACCAACUAUAGAAACGGAAUGCUAUGUUCAGAAUUUUCACUUACUAGCACAAAAUAUUUAGAUAAACUAGGAUUCUACACACAACAGAACAUAUAUGUAGUCCAAGUCCGUUACACCAAAUUUCAAAACCUUAAGACACAGUUGAAGGUCCCAUUGAAUUGCCUCAGCUAGAACAACAUAGGCCCCUUAGAGUAAAUUCACUAACAUUUAAAAAUGCAUGACAUACUUGCCUUUUUUAGCUCCACCUUAGGUGG
Molecule: unclassified non-coding RNA, 1004 nt
Filed under: Hevea brasiliensis (rubber tree)
Lineage: Eukaryota; Viridiplantae; Streptophyta; Magnoliopsida; Malpighiales; Euphorbiaceae
Source: RNAcentral